GAGGGUAUAGCUCAGUGGUAGAGCACAUGCUUAGCAUGCACAAGGUCCUGGAUUCAAUUCCCAGUACCUCCA
This 72-nucleotide transfer RNA is filed under the name Camelus bactrianus (Bactrian camel). It matches the Rfam family "tRNA". Rfam says of the family: Transfer RNA (tRNA) molecules are approximately 80 nucleotides in length. Their secondary structure includes four short double-helical elements and three loops (D, anti-codon, and T loops). The record is from Rfam by way of RNAcentral. RNAcentral also lists the same sequence under 2 other names. Lineage: Eukaryota; Metazoa; Chordata; Mammalia; Artiodactyla; Camelidae.